Molecule: long non-coding RNA, 2797 nt
Organism: Panicum virgatum (switchgrass)
Lineage: Eukaryota; Viridiplantae; Streptophyta; Magnoliopsida; Poales; Poaceae
Exons: 2
Source: RefSeq, a predicted model, not a curated record
UGGACUUGUGGCUAUGAUUCCUUGAUAAGAUGAUAUGUUCAACCAUGUUUGCUUUAGAAACUCAGGCAAACCUAGUUGUAGCUGUCAACUCAACUUGUGCUAAAAGAAUGAAAGUAAGGACCCAAUAAUAGCGGCUUUUCAGCAAAAGAACUACAGAGCCAAAGAGCCUUGCAUGUAUAGGAGUCGGCUAAGUAUAUACCAAUAGUCGGGUAAGCCUUGCUGAGUAUUAGUAUACUUAGUGUUUGUUGUCACCCUGUUUUCAGGUAAUUGCUGCUGGUGGGAGCUAAUCAGGAUUCACAUUGGAGCAGCCAAUACAUCUCGGGCCAUACGUGCUACAAUCGGGUACUUUGUUGUGUGCAUCUUCCACCAGUGCAAGAUAUCGAAGAUGUCAUUGUCACAUGGAAAUAGAUCAUCAUGAAGAUAUCUGUCGAGUUCCCUGGUGACUUGAUUGCUUUCAACACUCACAUGUGUACUCCAAUCAGCUCAGUGACCUUUUAGUGAAGAUGCAGUGCCAUUUCCUUGAGUAGAAGACUGCAAUGACUCUCCCGUUUCAGAUGAGUAACCAUUGAACAAACUUCUUAUAGCUCUAUCUACUUUAGCAAUAUGAACACUUGCGUUGUCUCCAAAAGUAAGUUUGUGAAGCCAACUCCAUCUGCAAAGAAGAAAAUGCAACAUUAUUUCAAGAUAAUGAUGCAAUUAACAAAAACAAAAUUCACCACUUCAGCAAAUGAUGCAAAAAAGACUCCCCUUUCAUGCAUCUGCAUCUCAAAUCAAAUAGUUAAAUGUACUAGCAAGUAUGAAGCUAUAUUUCUAUUAAAAAAUCUAACACUUCUGUAAAUCAACAAUACUCUCAAACAAAACAAGCAAAAACAGAUUGCCCAGAAACCUCUGGAAGCAUAACAGAGCUACCAUUUCCAUUAGCAUGCUGAACUUUAUCUGAAGCUGCUAUCAGAGAAUAAUAAAUAAUCACUAAUCUGAAGCUGCUAUCGACAAUAGCAUGCCACAAGAACAGAAAGAUGCCGAUCAGUAACUGCAGAUACCAUUUCCAUUAGACUAAUGUAAUUUUGCUCUAGUCUUCUCUUUCAAUACUAAUGUAAUUUUACUCUGCUACUUUUGCCUCUUAUCCACAGCAUCUCUAUGUGCCUCCUAACUAAACCAAGAUACUACUUUUGUUCUACUACUUUUCGCUGGAAUAGCCAAGCUUCCUCUCUGGACUCUGCAGUAGUCCUAUCUGGAAUAGUCCUGCUCUACUAUUUUUCAACCAGCUGCAUCAACAAUCAAACAAAGUCAUACAUGACCAAAAAAAAAGAAAGGAAGUCGUAUAUUGUUGCAACUCUGCAGGACUGCAUUGCAGUCUGAAAGUCUGAAAGGCGAUAUAUAGGUCCUCUGAACGAAACUCUUCCUUCUCUGUUGUAUUCAUUCAAAUCAAUCUGAUGCAUGUAACCCUAUUCAAAUCAAGAUAUCUGCAAUCGGUUAUUUAAGAAGCAAUAUGUUGCCUGCUGAUUUACAGCGACCUAUUUCCUAUCUAACAGUUACCCUAGCCUCUCUUCUGAUGCAUGUAACCCUAGGCAUCCAACUAAUGAGUCAAGCACAGGUGAAUAAGGCUGAAUGCUUACAGUCAUCUAGAGAAAAAAUCCACCUAUCUAAGAACCCACGCAUGACGCAUCCACAAAUUGUUUACCUGUUCUUGAACCGUGCAGGUAGAGGGAGGCCGGGAAGGAGAAGAUUCGGUGGCCUGGCGCAACAAGAACUGUGCAGGUCCGGAGGGCAUCGUGGCGCCAUGAAUUAGAGGCGGCCGUGCUUCGGUUUGCUGCGCACGGGACGGCGCGGGCACAGAUGCAAGGGUAGCCGCGCGGACUGCUGGGGAGGGAGGGAGGGAGGGCAGCGCCGGGGAUUUUGCGGAGUUCUGCAUCGCCGGAGUGAGGGAGGGGGCGGCGCGGACUGCAGGAGGGAGGGAGGAGGCGGCGCGGACUGCAGCAGGAGGGAGGGGGCGGCGGCGGCGGCGCGCAAGGCGCGAUGCCGAUGCGUCUGCGCCCCGAGCCCCCGAUGCACAGGGAAGGGAAAAGGAAGAGAAGGGAAGGGAAAAGUAAGGUGGGCUGGCCUGCAGAACCCACUAGGCUUGGCGGGCUGUACAUUUGAGGUCCAUUUGCAAAAUGCGGGCUGUGGCAGGUGUUUGAAAAUGUGUUUUUGCAGGGUGGUGGUUGCAGACAACCAGGCACCCGCACCUGCCUACAUCCUGAGGUUUAGUUCCUGGAUUGGAUGCGGGUCCUCGUCAUCUGCGACCCCAACCUUGGCCGGCGGCCGUCCAGGCGAUGAACAUCGACGGUGUCUUGUUGAACCGGAUCUGCUGGUGCCCCCGCUCCCACCACGUCAGCAGGGCCUGCGCUGGCGACCUGCUGCUCGUCGUCCUGCACGAGGACAUCGGCCGCCGCCACCCGUCGUCCUUCGCCGAGAUCAACAAGCUGGGGCCAGCGGCGGGUGGAGAUCGGCGCCAGGUGACGGACCCUUUGUGCCGAGGAAUUCCCACUUCCCACGGCCCUGGUAGCUUGGCCGCUCGCUGACUGAUUGGGCAUUCGUGUUCGACCUGGGUUCAGAUACUCUGAAGGAUCCGUGCAUGUAUUUCUAUGCUAAUUUUGCUUAGCUUCUAUAAUCUGAAAUCAUCAACAAAUCUGUAUUCCUACGCUACUUCGGCUAAGCUUCUAUGAUAUGAAAUCAUGAACAAAUUUGACUAUAUUCCUAUGCUAUUUAGGCUAAGGUUCUAUGAUCUGAAAUUAUCAACAAAUUGUUGGACUCGUCA